Molecule: ribosomal RNA, 232 nt
Filed under: uncultured bacterium
Lineage: Bacteria
Description: partial 16S ribosomal RNA
Rfam family: Bacterial small subunit ribosomal RNA
Source: RNAcentral
GCACAAGCAGUGGAGUAUGUGGUUUAAUUCGACGCAACGCGAAGAACCUUACCAAGUCUUGACAUCCCUUGACAGACAUAGAAAUAUGUAAUCUCUUCGGAGCAAGGAGACAGGUGGUGCAUGGUUGUCGUCAGCUCGUGUCGUGAGAUGUUGGGUUAAGUCCCGCAACGAGCGCAACCCUUAUGGUCAGUUACUACGCAAGAGGACUCUGGCCAGACUGCCGUUGAUAAAA